GCUGGGUGCGGUGGCACAUGCCUGUAAUCCCAGCAGCUUGGGAGGCUGAAGCAGGAGGAUCGCAAGUUCAAAGGCAGCUUCAGCAACUUAGUGAGGCCCUAAGCAGCUUAGUGAGACCCUGUCUCUA
This 127-nucleotide small RNA is filed under the name Marmota monax (woodchuck). The record is from RNAcentral. Lineage: Eukaryota; Metazoa; Chordata; Mammalia; Rodentia; Sciuridae.